CUGUGAGGUAUGCUGGAGGUAUCAGAAGUGCGAAUGCUGACAUAAGUAACGAUAAAGCGGGUGAAAAGCCCGCUCGCCGGAAGACCAAGGGUUCCUGUCCAACGUUAAUCGGGGCAGGGUGAGUCGACCCCUAAGGCGAGGCCGAAAGGCGUAGUCGAUGGGAAACAGGUUAAUAUUCCUGUACUUGGUGUUACUGCGAAGGGGGGACGGAGAAGGCUAUGUUGGCCGGGCGACGGUUGUCCCGGUUUAAGCGUGUAGGCUGGUUUUCCAGGCAAAUCCGGAAAAUCAAGGCUGAGGCGUGAUGACGAGGCACUACGGUGCUGAAGCAACAAAUGCCCUGCUUCCAGGAAAAGCCUCUAAGCAUCAGGUAACAUCAAAUCGUACCCCAAACCGACACAGGUGGUCAGGUAGAGAAUACCAAGGCGCUUGAGAGAACUCGGGUGAAGGAACUAGGCAAAAUGGUGCCGUAACU
Molecule: ribosomal RNA, 472 nt
Filed under: Escherichia coli
Lineage: Bacteria; Pseudomonadati; Pseudomonadota; Gammaproteobacteria; Enterobacterales; Enterobacteriaceae
Description: partial 23S ribosomal RNA
Rfam family: Bacterial large subunit ribosomal RNA
Source: RNAcentral